CCUGCGCCUUCGCCAGCCACCGGGAGGGGGACCCGAACCGCUCGCUGGCUGGCUGCUUGGCUCGCCGGCUGGCCGGCUUUUGCGGGCGUCCGGAGGCCGGGGAAGAUGUGAGCAGGUUCGCGGGGACGCCGGCCGCAUCCCGGGGACUCAUGCAGGGGCGCACGGCCAAGGGGAUGCUGCGCGCGCCGGCCCCCUCGCCCUCUCCACCGCCCCCUGCGCGCUCGCCCGCCAAGACCCGCCGCCCCCCGCCCGAGUGAGCGCGGCUGCGGGGCCGGACGGGAGGAGGGACCCCCCCCCCCACAACGUCGGAAGCCCGGGGAAGUUGGGGCGCCCGGUUGCCCACGGGGGAGAUUCACCCGACGCCCCCCAGAAGGGGCAGGUGGAGACAAGCCGCCUUCCACAACCGAGAGCCAUGAUCAGUUCUCAACAUCGGGCAUUUCUGGGAAAUAGUUCCCCUUCGGCCGGAGUUCAUUGCUUCUAACAGACCUUGCCGUGCGAAUUGAGGAUUUGGAAAAAAACUGUGGACACUUUAGCAAGGGGAGCGGAGGACUUUGUUCAACAUCUUGGGAAUUCUACAAAGGUUUCAUGCCAAAGAAGAAGGCCUGAGCCCAGCCGGAUUGUUGCUACUGGUAAAGCGGUUCUUCCUGAGAUGAAUCUCACAGAGAGCUG
Sphaerodactylus townsendi is the source of this 669-nucleotide long non-coding RNA. RefSeq lists it as uncharacterized. The record is from RefSeq and is a predicted model, not a curated record. Lineage: Eukaryota; Metazoa; Chordata; Lepidosauria; Squamata; Sphaerodactylidae. The transcript is spliced from 7 exons.